RNAcentral lists this unclassified non-coding RNA (380 nucleotides) under uncultured bacterium. RNAcentral's name for it is "contains 16S-23S intergenic spacer region". The record is from RNAcentral.
UCCGGUUUGUCACCGGCAGUCUCGCAUGAGUCCCCAACUAAAUGCUGGCAACAUGCGACGGGGGUUGCGCUCGUUGCGGGACUUAACCCAACAUCUCACGACACGAGCUGACGACAACCAUGCACCACCUGUCACCACUGUCCCCGAAGGGAAAGCCAUGUCUCCAUAGCGGUCAAUGGGAUGUCAAGACCUGGUAAGGUUCUUCGCGUUGCUUCGAAUUAAACCACAUGCUCCACCGCUUGUGCGGGCCCCCGUCAAUUCCUUUGAGUUUCAGUCUUGCGACCGUACUCCCCAGGCGGGGCGCUUAAUGCGUUAGCUGCGGCACGGAACUCGUGGAAUGAGCCCCACACCUAGCGCCCAACGUUUACGGCGUGGACUAC